This 351-nucleotide ribosomal RNA is filed under the name uncultured bacterium. RNAcentral's name for it is "partial 16S ribosomal RNA". It matches the Rfam family "Bacterial small subunit ribosomal RNA", at positions 355 to 698 of the family's 1533-position model. The record is from RNAcentral.
UGGGGAAUUUUGGACAAUGGGGGCAACCCUGAUCCAGCCAUCCCGCGUGUGCGAUGAAGGCCUUCGGGUUGUAAAGCACUUUUGGCAGGGAAGAAACAGCCUGGGAUAAUACCCCGGGCGACUGACGGUACCUGCAGAAUAAGCACCGGCUAACUACGUGCCAGCAGCCGCGGUAAUACGUAGGGUGCAAGCGUUAAUCGGAAUUACUGGGCGUAAAGCGUGCGCAGGCGGUUCGGAAAGAAAGGUGUGAAAUCCCAGGGCUUAACCUUGGAACUGCACUUUUAACUACCGAGCUAGAGUACGUCAGAGGGGGGUAGAAUUCCACGUGUAGCAGUGAAAUGCGUAGAGAUG